Molecule: microRNA precursor, 59 nt
Filed under: Echinops telfairi (small Madagascar hedgehog)
Lineage: Eukaryota; Metazoa; Chordata; Mammalia; Afrosoricida; Tenrecidae
Description: Ete-Mir-8-P1a_pre stem-loop
Rfam family: mir-8/mir-141/mir-200 microRNA precursor family
About the family: The bounds of the precursors are predicted based on conservation and base pairing and are not generally known.
Source: RNAcentral
CAUCUUACUGGGCAGCAUUGGAUGGUGUCAGAGCUCUAAUACUGCCUGGUAAUGAUGAC